GGGGUUGAAGCUCAGUGAUAGAGCACUUGCUUAUCAAGCAUGAGACAUUGGGUUCAAUCCUCAGCACCA
RNAcentral lists this transfer RNA (69 nucleotides) under Ictidomys tridecemlineatus (thirteen-lined ground squirrel). RNAcentral describes it as "Spermophilus tridecemlineatus (thirteen-lined ground squirrel) tRNA". It matches the Rfam family "tRNA". Rfam says of the family: Transfer RNA (tRNA) molecules are approximately 80 nucleotides in length. The record is from Rfam by way of RNAcentral. Lineage: Eukaryota; Metazoa; Chordata; Mammalia; Rodentia; Sciuridae.